RNAcentral lists this ribosomal RNA (460 nucleotides) under uncultured bacterium. Its description in RNAcentral is "partial 16S ribosomal RNA". It matches the Rfam family "Bacterial small subunit ribosomal RNA", at positions 338 to 795 of the family's 1533-position model. The record is from RNAcentral.
CCUACGGGAGGCAGCAGUGAGGAAUAUUGGUCAAUGGACGAGAGUCUGAACCAGCCAAGUAGCGUGAUGGAUGACUGCCCUAUGGGUUGUAAACUUCUUUUAUAUGGGAAUAAAAUGUUCCACGUGUGGGAUUUUGUAUGUACCAUAUGAAUAAGGAUCGGCUAACUCCGUGCCAGCAGCCGCGGUAAUACGGAGGAUCCGAGCGUUAUCCGGAUUUAUUGGGUUUAAAGGGAGCGUAGGUGGAUUGUUAAGUCAGUUGUGAAAGUUUGCGGCUCAACCGUAAAAUUGCAGUUGAAACUGGCAGUCUUGAGUACAGUAGAGGUGGGCGGAAUUCGUGGUGUAGCGGUGAAAUGCUUAGAUAUCACGAAGAACUCCGAUUGCGAAGGCAGUUCACUGGACUACAACUGACACUGAGGCUCGAAAGUGUGGGUAUCAAACAGGAUUAGAUACCCGGGUAGUC